GAUGAACGCUGGCGGCGUGCCUAACACAUGCAAGUCGAGCGAUUUACUUCGGUAAAGAGCGGCGGACGGGUGAGUAACGCGUGGGUAACCUACCCUGUACACACGGAUAACAUACCGAAAGGUAUGCUAAUACGAGAUAAUAUACUUUUAUCGCAUGGUAGAAGUAUCAAAGCUUUUGCGGUACAGGAUGGACCCGCGUCUGAUUAGCUAGUUGGUAAGGUAACGGCUUACCAAGGCGACGAUCAGUAGCCGACCUGAGAGGGUGAUCGGCCACAUUGGAACUGAGACACGGUCCAAACACCUACGGGAGGCAG
RNAcentral lists this ribosomal RNA (314 nucleotides) under uncultured Bacillota bacterium. RNAcentral describes it as "bacterial SSU rRNA". It matches the Rfam family "Bacterial small subunit ribosomal RNA", at positions 28 to 351 of the family's 1533-position model. Lineage: Bacteria; Bacillati; Bacillota. The record is from RNAcentral.